GACUACAGCCACAUUGCCCUGCAAGUCAACACCAGUUACUCACUGAAGGUUAGCAGGCCUGAGCCUGGUCAGUACCUGGAUGGGAAACCACAUGGGAAAACUAGGUUGUUGUUGGAA
Molecule: ribosomal RNA, 117 nt
Organism: Danio rerio (zebrafish)
Lineage: Eukaryota; Metazoa; Chordata; Actinopteri; Cypriniformes; Danionidae
Source: Ensembl